CCGCAAUUACCAUAUAAUUGAACAAUAUAAAUAAAAAUGUAAUCUUAAAAGGUACCUAUUACCAGUAUCAUAUGUGCUCAAUUCAUGGUUUUUAAUGAAAUGGAAUUUGUUUGACGACAAAGAGACUGUUAAUGGGGCCGAAGAAGAUAUAUAAAAACUUUACUUUUGAUGAAUUGACACGCGCUGACAAGUAAUACCAACCUUAAACCAGGAACUUGUCUCAAAUACAUCAUUUUAUUCAUGAACAGCAAUGUUCAAGGAAUAAACAACUCCAUUUUCUACAAUUGUUCUUCUACUCUCAAUGAUCCUGGAAUCCACCUCUCUCUCUCAAGAAAGAAAGAUCAACAGCGUCAGUGAGAUUAAUCUCAAGGACCAGCUUGGCUAAUAAAUUGAAUCGGCGUCUUUUCCUUUUUGGUUUAAUUUGUCACAGCAUUAUGUCAUGGAAUAAACUAGAAUAGUAAUAUAUUGAGUGAUGGAAAACGAGAAAGAAGGAAAAGGCCAUGGAGUCUGAUUCUCCAGCUUGCAAUCCACUUACAAUGGAUGGCAACUAAAAGGCCUAAAUCCUGACUGUUUAGUAUACUGAGAGGAAUAUAAAUCAUCCAGAAUUAAUAAAAAUUUUCCAUUUUAUUGAGAAGUAGUGAAUUCAGAGCAAUAAAAGCUAAUGUUUGGUUAUGUUUCUAAAGGCUAGUUCUAAUAUAAAUUUGAAGCAUCUUCGGACAAUAAAAAUUUAAGGUGUCCCACUGUGCUUAGUAGCCUAGCAAAUAUCAUUGUAACAGCUACAAAGCUUUUUAUAAUGCAUUGAUGAAUUAAUAUUACAAAUUAUUAUUUGAAGUUUCUUUUGAAAUCAAUUUUAUAGUCUCCAACUUUACCGAUGAUAAACUUUUAUCAAAUUACAUUUUGGAGGACUAAGAAAGUAAUUAUAUAAAAAUACAAGCUCUUUUUAAGAUAUUUUAUUUCCAACAUCAGCUCUCUGUGCAGUCUUUAUUUAACUUAAGAGCCAAUACAAUCAAAGCCAAUAUGGGAGGCACAUAUUCCAUUUUUCCCACUGCAGUUAUUUCUUUUUCUAUACCCAUUAAGUAGAGUAUAUAUGCUAAGGCAAUCUACAAUAUAAACAGUAAGGUAAAGAUAUCAGAAUAAGCUACAUUGUUCCAUUUCAAGACAAACUUAUUUACUGAAUUUUUAUAUUCUUUUUUGUAGUUCAAAAAUAUGCACACAGACGUGAAUUUUUUAGACAAAUUGCACCCCACACCCCAAGUAUACUUGUUUUACAAUUUUUUAAUGGAAAAGUGUGAUAUUUCUUACAUUUUCAACUCCAACAAACAUUCUUAUAUAUAAAUGCCAAAAGUAUGAAAGGUAAAAUGUCCAAGUUAGUUCCGCAAUUAACAAAAUAUAUAAAGGAACUGCGAAACAGCAAAGGAGAAGUUGGAUAAAAAAACUAAUGAAAGCAUCCCUCUUUAGCGAGUCCAAUUCUGGAAGCCUUUGCUUUCUUUUAAAUCUUGGUAGUGGUGGAAUGACUAUUAAUUAAGAUACUACCAUUUAAGGUUAUGUUCUUAUACCCUGAACAUUGAAAACCAAUGGCAAUUUCAAUAAUAAGCUACAAAAAGUAAAAAUAGAAAGGUUACAUGUUUUUGCGCGUUGUUCAGUUGGGAAGUCUAAUUAUGGUCUCUGUACAGAGCUAAUACGCGGAUCAAACACUGUGAGAUUUCCAUGGGGUUUGCAAUGGAGGCAAGAAGAUAGGAAAGCAUGCAUGCAUAAAAUGAAGACCCACUUAUUUCCUUCCCUUUAUUCCAUUCAUCUCCUUAAAAUUAUGAGUUUCAGGAUUACCAAAUGAAUAGGAAUUGUUGAGAAAACGUGUUUAAAAAUGAAACAGCAUUAGACAAACUUGUGAGUUUCAAAUAAUUUAAUUUAGCAUCCUUCCCCUCCCCAGUCACCACAGAAGAACCAAAGAAAUCUUAAAAGUAAAAUAUAGUGAUCAUAUUGAAGCUUUAAUCAGAUGGGGACAUGCCUUAGUCUCAAUUACAAAUUACAUUAACAAACCGAGUAUCUUUAAUCAUUGAGAAAGACAACAACUACCAUAAACAUAAAUACAACCUCAAAAAUGUAAUUGAUAAUAGGAAUUACAAACUAUUAUGAAAAGAGAUCAAGAAAUACCCAUGAGAUCUCAAUUUCGAGGCAGGUUUUUCCAUCGUUGAAUGAUCUGGGCUUGUCAACCGCAAGUCUGCAACUCCAUGCUUGCGUUCAGCUGCAGGUUCGGAUUCAGUAGCUACUGAGUUGUCGUGUUUUGGGUUGGUUUACAAAAUGACAAGGGGCCGAUAAGGCACGCUAAAGCCUGUGUGUAUAGAAU
This 2344-nucleotide long non-coding RNA is filed under the name Olea europaea (common olive). RNAcentral describes it as "long non-coding RNA (OEUR_LNC011290)". Lineage: Eukaryota; Viridiplantae; Streptophyta; Magnoliopsida; Lamiales; Oleaceae. The record is from RNAcentral.